AAGUCGUAACAAGGUCUCCGUUGGUGAACCAGCGGAGGGAUCAUUACCGAGUUUACAACUCCCAACCCUUUGUGAACAUACCUAUCGUUGCCUCGGCGGGACUGCCCCGGCGCCCAGCGCGCUGGAACCAGGCCCCCGCCGGAGGCGAGCCAAACCAUCUUGUUUCUUCAAGUUCAUUCUUAAUGUAGGUGCUUUCGAGCAAAAAAUAAAUUAAAA
RNAcentral lists this unclassified non-coding RNA (216 nucleotides) under plant metagenome. Its description in RNAcentral is "partial contains small subunit ribosomal RNA and internal transcribed spacer 1". The stretch from base 1 to 46 matches the Rfam family "Eukaryotic small subunit ribosomal RNA", at positions 1786 to 1831 of the family's 1831-position model. The record is from RNAcentral.